Molecule: ribosomal RNA, 468 nt
Filed under: uncultured bacterium
Lineage: Bacteria
Description: partial 16S ribosomal RNA
Rfam family: Bacterial small subunit ribosomal RNA
Source: RNAcentral
GACGAACGCUGGCGGCGUGCUUAACACAUGCAAGUCGAACGGAAAGGCCCUGCUUUUGUGGGGUGCUCGAGUGGCGAACGGGUGAGUAACACGUGAGUAACCUGCCCUUGACUUUGGGAUAACUUCAGGAAACUGGGGCUAAUACCGGAUAGGAGCUCCUGCUGCAUGGUGGGGGUUGGAAAGUUUCGGCGGUUGGGGAUGGACUCGCGGCUUAUCAGCUUGUUGGUGGGGUAGUGGCUUACCAAGGCUUUGACGGGUAGCCGGCCUGAGAGGGUGACCGGCGACAUUGGGACUGAGAUACGGCCCAAAGUCCUACGGGAGGCAGCAGUGGGGAAUGUUGCACAAUGGGCGGAAGCCUGAUGCAACAACGCCGCGUGCGGGAUGACGGCCUUCGGGUUGUAAACCGAUUUCGACUGUGACGAAGCGUGAGUGACGGUAAUGGGUAAAGAAGCACCGGCUAACUACGUG